This 301-nucleotide ribosomal RNA is filed under the name uncultured bacterium. RNAcentral describes it as "partial 16S ribosomal RNA". It matches the Rfam family "Bacterial small subunit ribosomal RNA", at positions 512 to 808 of the family's 1533-position model. The record is from RNAcentral.
CAGCCGCACGGUAAUACGAAGGGGGCUAGCGUUGUUCGGAAUUACUGGGCGUAAAGCGCACGUAGGCGGCUUUGUAAGUUAGAGGUGAAAGCCUGGAGCUCAACUCCAGAAUUGCCUUUAAGACUGCAUCGCUUGAAUCCGGGAGAGGUGAGUGGAAUUCCGAGUGUAGAGGUGAAAUUCGUAGAUAUUCGGAAGAACACCAGUGGCGAAGGCGGCUCACUGGACUGGUAUUGGCGCUGAGGUGCGAAAGCGUGGGGAGCAAACAGGAUUAGAUACCCCCGUAGUUCCUGUCUCUUAUACA